Molecule: ribosomal RNA, 253 nt
Filed under: uncultured bacterium
Lineage: Bacteria
Description: partial 16S ribosomal RNA
Rfam family: Bacterial small subunit ribosomal RNA
Source: RNAcentral
UACGAAGGGUGCAAGCGUUACUCGGAAUUACUGGGCGUAAAGCGUGCGUAGGUGGUUUGUUAAGUCUGUUGUGAAAGCCCCGGGCUCAACCUGGGAAUGGCAAUGGAUACUGGCAAGCUAGAGCGCGGUAGAGGGUAGUGGAAUUCCCGGUGUAGCGGUGAAAUGCGUAGAGAUCGGGAGGAACACCGGUGGCGAAGGCGGAUCUCUGGGCCUUACCUGACGCUCAGGCGCGAAAGCUAGGGGAGCGAACAGG